GCAUGCAUGGCCGAGUGGUCGAAGGCGGCAGACUCAUAAUCUGCUUUCUAUAAGAACAUCACAGGUUCAAAUCCUGUUGCAUGCA
Molecule: transfer RNA, 85 nt
Filed under: Castanea mollissima (Chinese chestnut)
Lineage: Eukaryota; Viridiplantae; Streptophyta; Magnoliopsida; Fagales; Fagaceae
Also listed under: 1 other name
Rfam family: tRNA
About the family: Transfer RNA (tRNA) molecules are approximately 80 nucleotides in length. Their secondary structure includes four short double-helical elements and three loops (D, anti-codon, and T loops).
Source: Rfam by way of RNAcentral